Non-coding RNA from Camellia sinensis, 533 nucleotides. NCBI's taxonomy places the organism in Eukaryota, Viridiplantae, Streptophyta, Magnoliopsida, Ericales, Theaceae. The record is from RefSeq and is a predicted model, not a curated record.
UGUUAAAUGACAUUUUUGCCCUAACCUUGAGUUUUUUUUUUUUUUUUUUUUUGACAUAUAUGUAAUGAUAGCCACCAAUGAAUAUGCAAGAAAGGACUUGGACAAGAAAAUGCUGACCAUAGAAAGGAGUGUUAUCUCCAACAUCCUUACACACAUGGUUGUGAAGAAAAAUGGGACAAAGUUUAGAAGCAAUACAGUAGUAUCUCAAAAGAGAGAAUUGGGUGAGAAAUCAAGGAACAAACAGGAACCUAUUUUUUCAUUGAGAGUUUCAAACACAAUUCUUGCUCAAUCUGUAGUUACAAUGCUUGGAUUGGGGUUCAUCGAUGCGGGGUAUAGUGGAGACUGGUCAAGGAUUGGAGUGAUUUCAAAGGAGACUGAAGAAUUGUUAAAGCUUGCAGCAUUUGUUGUAGUCCCUUUGUGCCUCUUUCUCAUAUUUUCUUUCUCUAAGAAACAAGAGGCUUGAAAUUUCGAACAUGAUUGUACCAUUUUCUAGGCAAAAAGAAGAAGAAUUUUGUGGUGGUUUAUUUUUUCUA